UGGGCAGUAGCUCAGUGGUAGAGCUCCAGCUUCGUAUGCUGGAAAAUCUGGGUUCGAUUCCGUGCUGUUUAC
This 72-nucleotide transfer RNA is filed under the name Toxocara canis (dog roundworm). It matches the Rfam family "tRNA". From Rfam's summary of the family: Transfer RNA (tRNA) molecules are approximately 80 nucleotides in length. Their secondary structure includes four short double-helical elements and three loops (D, anti-codon, and T loops). Further hydrogen bonds mediate the characteristic L-shaped molecular structure. tRNAs have two regions of fundamental functional importance: the anti-codon, which is responsible for specific mRNA codon recognition, and the 3' end, to which the tRNAs corresponding amino acid is attached (by aminoacyl-tRNA synthetases). tRNAs cope with the degeneracy of the genetic code in two manners: having more than one tRNA (with a specific anti-codon) for a particular amino acid; and 'wobble' base-pairing, i.e. permitting non-standard base-pairing at the 3rd anti-codon position. The record is from Rfam by way of RNAcentral. Lineage: Eukaryota; Metazoa; Nematoda; Chromadorea; Rhabditida; Toxocaridae.